Molecule: transfer RNA, 85 nt
Filed under: Patescibacteria group bacterium
Lineage: Bacteria
Description: tRNA-Ser
Rfam family: tRNA
About the family: Transfer RNA (tRNA) molecules are approximately 80 nucleotides in length. Their secondary structure includes four short double-helical elements and three loops (D, anti-codon, and T loops). Further hydrogen bonds mediate the characteristic L-shaped molecular structure. tRNAs have two regions of fundamental functional importance: the anti-codon, which is responsible for specific mRNA codon recognition, and the 3' end, to which the tRNAs corresponding amino acid is attached (by aminoacyl-tRNA synthetases). tRNAs cope with the degeneracy of the genetic code in two manners: having more than one tRNA (with a specific anti-codon) for a particular amino acid; and 'wobble' base-pairing, i.e. permitting non-standard base-pairing at the 3rd anti-codon position.
Source: RNAcentral
GGAGAGGUCGCAUAGUGGUCGAGUGCAGCGGUUUACUAAACCGCCGAUCCGCAAGGGUUCGCGAGUUCGAAUCUCGCCCUCUCCG